Molecule: regulatory RNA element, 166 nt
Rfam family: M-box riboswitch aptamer (ykoK leader)
About the family: M-box riboswitch, also know as ykoK leader is described as a metaloregulatory RNA that sense divalent metals and function as a genetic control element of genes related to divalent metal transport in bacteria. It was first reported upstream of the B.subtilis ykoK gene and genes with related functions in other bacteria.
Source: Rfam
AUAUGACUCUGUUAGGUGAGGCUCCUGUAUAGAGAAACGCUACUGCCCAAAAACGUCGAGAGACGCCAAUGGGUCAACUAGAAAGGUCGGAAUGAAGGCCUUUUUUAACGUAGCUGGUUUGUACCUAUGCUAUACAGUGCUAAAGCUCAACGAGGGAGAGGUGCGA